AAAGCUGGAUCCAAGUCGCCACCGCCUAGGUCGUACCGUUUCAGUAGGUUUUGCGUCUACCCUUUCUUUGUUCCUUUUUUGGUUCUUCUAAAAGAGGAAAGCCAAAAAAUUUCAGAUGAGUUUUCUAAGAGGGAGUUCAGAAUUUUUGCGAGCCUUGGAAAUCUGGGACAAGACUUUUCUUUCAAGAAUGAAGUUUAAAAUUCAUUUCUGCGAUGGACUAUCAACUUUUUGGAUAAGCUUUCAAAAAACUCAGAGGAGCUUCCAUUUUUUUUUAGGUUUCAAAAUUUUAGGGACAAACUUUCGUUCAGUUGAGAACAACUUUUAAAUUUUUUGAGAUUGGACGUGCUGAGCUGCUGUUUUUUCCUUUUCUUUUUGAGGGACGUGCUGGGCUGCUUCGUCAAACGGUGAGCCAGUAAGGCACCAGAGAGUCUUUUCGAGAAUUUUUGCCUAUUUAUAAUGUUUGUCCAACUCUAAACACUAUAAAUAUGCCUGUGUUGCCACAAAUUUAUGUUCUUAUAAUACUAUUUGUCCUCCACAGGCCAUAAUAAUGAGUUGUGCAAGUGCAGAGAGCGAAUAAUUGUUUUCAUGGUUACCUUUUUUUAUGUGAAAAGUACGUAAUUAAUAGGUAAAAGUUGAAUCUCCCUUUCAACUUUGGAUCCAUCUUUCAGACCAGUGCCGACAGCACCCACUUUGGAUCCAUCUUCAAAGAGCGCCCUGGUCGAUUGAUCUCUGGGUGCAGCUGCACCAUGUCCAGCUCUCUGAUCGUGACGACACGUUGAUUUGGAAGUUUGAUGGCUCGGGGUCCUACUGAUCCAAUUCUUGGGCAGCAUCACUUCUCCAAUGUCUGUUCUCGUGUGGCGGACGAGGAUCCGGCCGAAGCUGAAAUUCCAUGCCUGGCU
Molecule: long non-coding RNA, 899 nt
Filed under: Brachypodium distachyon (stiff brome)
Lineage: Eukaryota; Viridiplantae; Streptophyta; Magnoliopsida; Poales; Poaceae
Description: long non-coding RNA (BDIS_LNC001059)
Source: RNAcentral